RNAcentral lists this ribosomal RNA (253 nucleotides) under uncultured bacterium. Its description in RNAcentral is "partial 16S ribosomal RNA". It matches the Rfam family "Bacterial small subunit ribosomal RNA", at positions 524 to 776 of the family's 1533-position model. The record is from RNAcentral.
UACGGAGGGUGCGAGCGUUAAUCGGAAUUACUGGGCGUAAAGGGCACGCAGGCGGGCUUUUAAGUGAGAUGUGAAAUCCCAGGGCUUAACCUGGGAAUAGCAUUUGAGACUGGGAGUCUUGAGUAGUUUAGAGGGGGGUAGAAUUCCAGGUGUAGCGGUGAAAUGCGUAGAGAUGUGGAGGAAUACCGAAGGCGAAGGCAGCCCACUGGGAAAGUACUGACGCUGAUGUGCGAAAGCGUGGGGAGCAAACAGG